GGAACACACUGGUAGAAGAGCACACAGGCAGCUGGAUGUCGAGAGGAGCGGAAGAGCACAGCGACAGGCACUGGUGUCGACCAGCGGAACGACGUGGAGUUUGGCCUGGGAGGUCAGAGAAGAAUUUGGCUGCUGGGCAGCCCCACUAUAGGGGAAAACCACCUUCCCACUCCAUUCCCCUUCUGAUCUCCCCAUCCACCUCGCUGAGAGCUACCACAACUCAAUAAAAAACCUAGCACUCGAUCUCCAAGCCCACAUGUGAUCCAAUUUUUCCCGUGCACUAAAGCAAGAACCUGGGAUACAGAAAGCCGUCUGUCCUUGUGAUAAGGCAGAGGGUCUAAUUGAGCUGAUUAACACAAGCCACCUGCGGACAGCUAAGCUGAAAAAGCAUCCUGUAACACACGCCCACUGGGGCCUCAGGAGGUGUAAACAUUCACCCCGAGAGGCUGCAUGGGUCCGCGCCCAUGGUCCCCAUGACUUGCCUGUUUGCCUGCUCUGGCUAAGGGUCUUGACCAGUGGGGCACUGAAGAAGCGAGCCACACCUCCAUCGUACGCCCUGCGAGGAGGGUCUCGUCAGAGUGCCUCUAAGAAGAAACAUGACAUAUUUGCU
This 610-nucleotide long non-coding RNA is filed under the name Homo sapiens (human). RNAcentral's name for it is "HSALNT0312705". The record is from RNAcentral. Lineage: Eukaryota; Metazoa; Chordata; Mammalia; Primates; Hominidae.